This 497-nucleotide ribosomal RNA is filed under the name uncultured bacterium. RNAcentral describes it as "partial 16S ribosomal RNA". It matches the Rfam family "Bacterial small subunit ribosomal RNA", at positions 28 to 507 of the family's 1533-position model. The record is from RNAcentral.
GAUGAACGCUGGCGGCGUGCCUAAUACAUGCAAGUCGAGCGAACGGACGAGAAGCUUGCUUCUCUGAUGUUAGCGGCGGACGGGUGAGUAACACGUGGAUAACCUACCUAUAAGACUGGGAUAACUUCGGGAAACCGGAGCUAAUACCGGAUAAUAUUUUGAACCGCAUGGUUCAAAAGUGAAAGACGGUCUUGCUGUCACUUAUAGAUGGAUCCGCGCUGCAUUAGCUAGUUGGUAAGGUAACGGCUUACCAAGGCAACGAUGCAUAGCCUACCUGAGAGGGUGAUCGGCCACACUGGAACUGAGACACGGUCCAGACUCCUACGGGAGGCAGCAGUAGGGAAUCUUCCGCAAAGGGCGAAAGCCUGACGGAGCAACGCCGCGUGAGUGAUGAAGGUCUUCGGAUCGUAAAACUCUGUUAUUAGGGAAGAACAUAUGUGUAAGUAACUGUGCACAUCUUGACGGUACCUAAUCAGAAAGCCACGGCUAACUACGUG